UUGGACCUGAUAUCAGGCAAGAUUACCCGCUGAACUUAAGCAUAUCAAUAAGGCGAGAGGAAAUA
RNAcentral lists this ribosomal RNA (65 nucleotides) under Phytophthora palmivora. RNAcentral describes it as "partial 28S ribosomal RNA". Lineage: Eukaryota; Oomycota; Peronosporomycetes; Peronosporales; Peronosporaceae. The record is from RNAcentral.